UGGUUAAAAAGCUCGUAGUUGGAUCUCAACAGCCUUGAAGCGGUUAACUUUGUAGUUUUACUGCUUUAUAGGCUGUGCUUUUGCUGGAGGUUUAGGGGUGCUCUUGAUCGAGUGUCUCUGGAUGCCAGCAGGUUUACUUUGAAAAAAUUAGAGUGCUCAAAGCAGGCUAAAAUGCCUGAAUAUUCGUGCAUGGAAUAAUAGAAUAGGAUGUCGAUCCUAUUUUGUUGGUUUUCGGGACUCGACAUAAUGAUAAAUAGGGACAGUCGGGGGCAUUUGUAUUCAAACGACAGAGGUGAAAUUCUUGGACCGUUUGAAGACAAACUACUGCGAAAGCAUUUGCCAAGAAUGUUUUCAUUAAUCAAGAACGAAAGUUAGAGGUUCGAAGGCGAUUAGAUACCGCCCUAGUUCUAACCAUAAACGAUGCCAGCUAGCGAUCUGCCUGCGUUUUUACUGUAGACUGGGCAGGAAGCUUCCGGGAAACCAAAGCAUUUGGGUUCCAGGGGAAGUAUGGUUGCAAAGCUGAAACUUAAAGGAAUUGACGGAAGGGCACCACCAGGAGUGGAGCCUGCGGCUUAAUUUGACUCAACACGGGAAAUCUCACCAGGCCCGGAAACUG
Molecule: ribosomal RNA, 616 nt
Filed under: uncultured marine eukaryote
Lineage: Eukaryota
Description: SSU rRNA
Rfam family: Eukaryotic small subunit ribosomal RNA
Source: RNAcentral